This 1333-nucleotide ribosomal RNA is filed under the name metagenome. Its description in RNAcentral is "bacterial LSU rRNA". It matches the Rfam family "Bacterial large subunit ribosomal RNA", at positions 1557 to 2910 of the family's 2925-position model. The record is from RNAcentral.
CGGAUCCCGAAAGUUGUUCGGCCUUACUGGAUUGGCUGGGCAACCUGGGGGUUCCAGGAAAUAGCUCCCGCAUCAUGCCUGUACCAUAACCGACACAGGUGGGUAAGUAGAGUAUACUAAGGGGCGCGAGAUAACUCUCUCUAAGGAACUCGGCAAAAUAACUCCGUAACUUCGGGAGAAGGAGUGCCUUAUUCUUAAGGUUGCAAUAACAAGAUCCAAGCAACUGUUUAUCAAAAACACAGGUCUCCGCUAAGUCGUAAGACUAUGUAUGGGGGCUGACGCCUGCCCAGUGCCAGAAGGUUAAAGAAGUCGGUUAGCAAUAGCAAAGCUGGUAACUGAAGCCCUGGUGAACGGCGGCCGUAACUAUAACGGCCCUAAGGUAGCGAAAUUCCUUGUCGGGUAAGUUCCGACCCGCACGAAAGGCGUAAUGAUUUGGAUGCUGUCUCGGAGAGGGGCUCGGUGAAAUAGACUUGUCUGUGAAGAUGCGGACUACCUGCACCAGGACAGAAAGACCCUAUGAAGCUUUACUGUAACUUGAAAUUGAAAUUGGACUUUAUUCGCGCAGUAUAGGUGGGAGGCGUUGAUUAUAAUCUUGUGGGAUUAUUGGAGCCAUCAGUGAGAUACCACUCUUGUAAUGUUAGAUUUCUAACUUUGAAUCAUUAUCUGGUCAAAGGACAGUUUCAGGCGGGCAGUUUGACUGGGGCGGUCGCCUCCCAAACGGUAACGGAGGCGUACAAAGGUUUCCUCUGAACGGUUAGAAAUCGUAUCUAGAGUGUAAGGCAUAAGGAAGCUUGACUGUGAGACCUACAAGUCGAGCAGGGACGAAAGUCGGUCUUAGUGAUCUGACGGUACUGAGUGGAAAGGCCGUCACUCAACGGAUAAAAGUUACUCUAGGAUAACAGGCUGAUCUCCCCCAAGAGUUCACAUCGACGGGGAGGUUUGGCACCUCGAUGUCGGCUCAUCGCAUCCUGGGGCGGUAGUACGUCCCAAGGGUUGGGCUGUUCGCCCAUGAAAGCGGUACGCGAGCUGGGUUCAGAACGUCGUGAGACAGUUCGGUCCAUAUCCGGUGUAGGCGCUAGGAUAUUGAGAGGAACCUUCUUUAGUACGAGAGGACCGAGAAGGACAUACCUCUGGUGUACCAGUUAUCGUGCCAACGGUAAACGCUGGGUAGCUAUGUAUGGAGUGGAUAACCGCUGAAAGCAUCUAAGUGGGAAGCCCACCUCAAGAUAAGUAUUCUCAUCACGUAAGUGAGUAAGGUCACGGUAAGACUAACCGUUUGAUAGGCAUUAGGUGUAAGUACAGUAAUGUAUGUGCUGAGAUGUCCUAAUAGACC